Molecule: ribosomal RNA, 484 nt
Filed under: uncultured bacterium
Lineage: Bacteria
Description: partial 16S ribosomal RNA
Rfam family: Bacterial small subunit ribosomal RNA
Source: RNAcentral
AUUGAACGCUGGCGGCAGGCCUAACACAUGCAAGUCGAGCGGAUGAAGGGAGCUUGCUCCUGGAUUCAGCGGCGGACGGGUGAGUAAUGCCUAUGAAUCUGCCUGGUCGUGGGGGAUAACGUCCGGAAACGGGCGCUAAUACCGCAUACGUCCUGAGGGAGAAAGUGGGGGAUCUUCGGACCUCACGCUAUCAGAUGAGCCUAGGUCGGAUUAGCUAGUUGGUGGGGUAAAGGCCUACCAAGGCGACGAUCCGUAACUGGUCUGAGAGGAUGAUCAGUCACACUGGAACUGAGACACGGUCCAGACUCCUACGGGAGGCAGCAGUGGGGAAUAUUGGACAAUGGGCGAAAGCCUGAUCCAGCCAUGCCGCGUGUGUGAAGAAGGUCUUCGGAUUGUAAAGCACUUUAAGUUGGGAGGAAGGGCAGUAAGUUAAUACCUUGCUGUUUUGACGUUACCAACAGAAUAAGCACCGGCUAACUUCGUG